This 2904-nucleotide ribosomal RNA is filed under the name Escherichia coli. Its description in RNAcentral is "23S ribosomal RNA". It matches the Rfam family "Bacterial large subunit ribosomal RNA". The record is from RNAcentral. Lineage: Bacteria; Pseudomonadati; Pseudomonadota; Gammaproteobacteria; Enterobacterales; Enterobacteriaceae.
GGUUAAGCGACUAAGCGUACACGGUGGAUGCCCUGGCAGUCAGAGGCGAUGAAGGACGUGCUAAUCUGCGAUAAGCGUCGGUAAGGUGAUAUGAACCGUUAUAACCGGCGAUUUCCGAAUGGGGAAACCCAGUGUGUUUCGACACACUAUCAUUAACUGAAUCCAUAGGUUAAUGAGGCGAACCGGGGGAACUGAAACAUCUAAGUACCCCGAGGAAAAGAAAUCAACCGAGAUUCCCCCAGUAGCGGCGAGCGAACGGGGAGGAGCCCAGAGCCUGAAUCAGUGUGUGUGUUAGUGGAAGCGUCUGGAAAGGCGCGCGAUACAGGGUGACAGCCCCGUACACAAAAAUGCACAUACUGUGAGCUCGAUGAGUAGGGCGGGACACGUGGUAUCCUGUCUGAAUAUGGGGGGACCAUCCUCCAAGGCUAAAUACUCCUGACUGACCGAUAGUGAACCAGUACCGUGAGGGAAAGGCGAAAAGAACCCCGGCGAGGGGAGUGAAAAAGAACCUGAAACCGUGUACGUACAAGCAGUGGGAGCACGCUUAGGCGUGUGACUGCGUACCUUUUGUAUAAUGGGUCAGCGACUUAUAUUCUGUAGCAAGGUUAACCGAAUAGGGGAGCCGAAGGGAAACCGAGUCUUAACUGGGCGUUAAGUUGCAGGGUAUAGACCCGAAACCCGGUGAUCUAGCCAUGGGCAGGUUGAAGGUUGGGUAACACUAACUGGAGGACCGAACCGACUAAUGUUGAAAAAUUAGCGGAUGACUUGUGGCUGGGGGUGAAAGGCCAAUCAAACCGGGAGAUAGCUGGUUCUCCCCGAAAGCUAUUUAGGUAGCGCCUCGUGAAUUCAUCUCCGGGGGUAGAGCACUGUUUCGGCAAGGGGGUCAUCCCGACUUACCAACCCGAUGCAAACUGCGAAUACCGGAGAAUGUUAUCACGGGAGACACACGGCGGGUGCUAACGUCCGUCGUGAAGAGGGAAACAACCCAGACCGCCAGCUAAGGUCCCAAAGUCAUGGUUAAGUGGGAAACGAUGUGGGAAGGCCCAGACAGCCAGGAUGUUGGCUUAGAAGCAGCCAUCAUUUAAAGAAAGCGUAAUAGCUCACUGGUCGAGUCGGCCUGCGCGGAAGAUGUAACGGGGCUAAACCAUGCACCGAAGCUGCGGCAGCGACGCUGAUGCGUUGUUGGGUAGGGGAGCGUUCUGUAAGCCUGCGAAGGUGUGCUGUGAGGCAUGCUGGAGGUAUCAGAAGUGCGAAUGCUGACAUAAGUAACGAUAAAGCGGGUGAAAAGCCCGCUCGCCGGAAGACCAAGGGUUCCUGUCCAACGUUAAUCGGGGCAGGGUGAGUCGACCCCUAAGGCGAGGCCGAAAGGCGUAGUCGAUGGGAAACAGGUUAAUAUUCCUGUACUUGGUGUUACUGCGAAGGGGGGACGGAGAAGGCUAUGUUGGCCGGGCGACGGUUGUCCCGGUUUAAGCGUGUAGGCUGGUUUUCCAGGCAAAUCCGGAAAAUCAAGGCUGAGGCGUGAUGACGAGGCACUACGGUGCUGAAGCAACAAAUGCCCUGCUUCCAGGAAAAGCCUCUAAGCAUCAGGUAACAUCAAAUCGUACCCCAAACCGACACAGGUGGUCAGGUAGAGAAUACCAAGGCGCUUGAGAGAACUCGGGUGAAGGAACUAGGCAAAAUGGUGCCGUAACUUCGGGAGAAGGCACGCUGAUAUGUAGGUGAAGCGACUUGCUCGUGGAGCUGAAAUCAGUCGAAGAUACCAGCUGGCUGCAACUGUUUAUUAAAAACACAGCACUGUGCAAACACGAAAGUGGACGUAUACGGUGUGACGCCUGCCCGGUGCCGGAAGGUUAAUUGAUGGGGUUAGCGCAAGGGAAGCUCUUGAUCGAAGCCCCGGUAAACGGCGGCCGUAACUAUAACGGUCCUAAGGUAGCGAAAUUCCUUGUCGGGUAAGUUCCGACCUGCACGAAUGGCGUAAUGAUGGCCAGGCUGUCUCCACCCGAGACUCAGUGAAAUUGAACUCGCUGUGAAGAUGCAGUGUACCCGCGGCAAGACGGAAAGACCCCGUGAACCUUUACUAUAGCUUGACACUGAACAUUGAGCCUUGAUGUGUAGGAUAGGUGGGAGGCUUUGAAGUGUGGACGCCAGUCUGCGUGGAGCCGACCUUGAAAUACCACCCUUUAAUGUUUGAUGUUCUAACGUUGACCCGUUAUCGGGGUUGCGGACAGUGUCUGGUGGGUAGUUUGACUGGGGCGGUCUCCUCCUAAAGAGUAACGGAGGAGCACGAAGGUUGGCUAAUCCUGGUCGGACAUCAGGAGGUUAGUGCAAUGGCAUAAGCCAGCUUGACUGCGAGCGUGACGGCGCGAGCAGGUGCGAAAGCAGGUCAUAGUGAUCCGGUGGUUCUGAAUGGAAGGGCCAUCGCUCAACGGAUAAAAGGUACUCCGGGGAUAACAGGCUGAUACCGCCCAAGAGUUCAUAUCGACGGCGGUGUUUGGCACCUCGAUGUCGGCUCAUCACAUCCUGGGGCUGAAGUAGGUCCCAAGGGUAUGGCUGUUCGCCAUUUAAAGUGGUACGCGAGCUGGGUUUAGAACGUCGUGAGACAGUUCGGUCCCUAUCUGCCGUGGGCGCUGGAGAAUUGAGGGGGGCUGCUCCUAGUACGAGAGGACCGGAGUGGACGCAUCACUGGUGUUCGGGUUGUCAUGCCAAUGGCACUGCCCGGUAGCUAAAUGCGGAAGAGAUAAGUGCUGAAAGCAUCUAAGCACGAAACUUGCCCCGAGAUGAGUUCUCCCUGAGACUUUAAGAGUCCUGAAGGAACGUUGAAGACGACGACGUUGAUAGGCCGGGUGUGUAAGCGCAGCGAUGCGUUGAGCUAACCGGUACUAAUGAACCGUGAGGCUUAACCUU